UUGAAUGAUAUGAUAUGACUAAUUAAUGUCGUAUAUACCACCAUAUGAGGUAGAUCAGGCUGGAGUUUGUUCUAUUUAUACACACACCUCUAAACUCUAGUCAAGUACAUAUUCAUUUGCUGAAGAUAUAGAAUUGAAAGGAACAUUAAAAAUCUCAAUCCCACAAAAUUGAAAUGGAAAGUGUAGUGGAAACUCUUCACAUGAACAAAGGAGCUGGCGAAACUAGCUAUGCCAUGAACUCCUCUCUCCAGGUAUAUAUAUUAUUGAUUGUAUAAAAUUAGUAUGUAAUUUUUUUAUGCAAGUAGAGGUGCAUUUGUUUUAGUUUUAAAAAAAAAUAAAUUGUUUUUUGUAUUUUUAAAAAUAGUAAAAUUAUUUUAUGUUCAUCUUUUUAUAAAUUAAAAAAGUGAUUUUGAC
RNAcentral lists this long non-coding RNA (414 nucleotides) under Trifolium pratense (red clover). RNAcentral's name for it is "long non-coding RNA (TPRA_LNC005684)". The record is from RNAcentral. Lineage: Eukaryota; Viridiplantae; Streptophyta; Magnoliopsida; Fabales; Fabaceae.